GGGGGAUGCGAGCGUUAUCCGGAUUUAUUGGGUUUAAAGGGUGCGUAGGCGGGGUGGUAAGUCAGCCGUGAAAUGUCCACGCUCAACGUGGAACGUGCGUUUGAUACUGCCGUCCUGGAAUGCGGAUGCCGUGGGAGGAAUGUGUGGUGUAGCGGUGAAAAGCAUAGAUAUCACACAGAACACCGAUUGCGAAGGCAUCUCACGAAUCCGCAAUUGACGCUGAGGCACGAAAGCGCGGGUAUCGAACAGGAUUAGAUACCCUGGUAGUCCGCGCUGUAAACGAUGAUGGCUAACCGCCGGCGACAUACUGUCGGUGGCCAAGCGAAAGCGAUAAGCCAUCCACCUGGGGAGU
Molecule: ribosomal RNA, 352 nt
Filed under: uncultured bacterium
Lineage: Bacteria
Description: bacterial SSU rRNA
Rfam family: Bacterial small subunit ribosomal RNA
Source: RNAcentral